This 232-nucleotide ribosomal RNA is filed under the name uncultured bacterium. Its description in RNAcentral is "partial 16S ribosomal RNA". It matches the Rfam family "Bacterial small subunit ribosomal RNA", at positions 100 to 334 of the family's 1533-position model. The record is from RNAcentral.
CGGGACGGGUGAGUAAUGUCUGGGAAACUGCCUGAUGGAGGGGGAUAACUGCUGGAAACGGUAGCUAAUACCGCGUAACGUCGCAAGACCAAAGAGGGGACCUUCGGGCCUCUUGCCAUCGGAUGUGCCCAGAUGGGAUUAGCUAGUAGGUGGGGUAACGGCUCACCUAGGCGACGAUCCCUAGCUGGUCUGAGAGGAUGACCAGCCACACUGGAACUGAGACACGGUCCAG